GAGGAAUCGGGCGGCGUGAGUCUUCGCGCCACCCGGCACAGGCGCCCGCGUGUGCUCUGGCCGAGCCCGGGCGGCAGGGAGGUGCACUGUAUAUAUGCCCAGGAGUGGAUGUGAUCUCUCUUCUUCAGGCUGGGAAGAUCUUUGUACCUGCUAGACUGAGAGAACAGGGCAGAAGUGAUGCUGCCUGGCUUCUGGAGGAUGUCUUUUCCCUCCUGAGUCCAGGACAAGCCUUGGGAAUACCAGAAAGAGUCAGUUUGCUGUGGAGGGGUAGCCAUCUCCGGAAGAGAAAGCUGACUCAGGAAAUACAGCGUCUGGCUUUGACUUCAGCUUUAAGGAAGGCUUCCCCGCCUGGGCAGAGCUGUGGGUGCUGUUGCCCUGCUUUGCCUCAACUUGGUCAGGGAGGAAGCAGAGGCAGAAGCCCACCAAGGCUGGCGGAGAGGAAGACAAUGCUCUUGUGUCCCACUGCUGCUGGUUCACGUCCUUGGAGCGUUCCUUGGAGGGGAGUGGACAAGACACCUCCUGGCCAGCUGCUCACGGCCCCCGGGCUGAGACCACUGCUCUCAGAAGCACAAGGCCACUGUUGGAGCUAGAGGGAAUUCCCCGGGAGGAGGAGGGAGGUGAUCGGGCGCUCUGUGAUUUGAGUCUCACUCUGAAAGCAGCUCUGUUGAUUUUCCCAUCAUUCGGGUCUCUCCCCUUACAUGCUCUUCGCUGCAUUCACGUGAAACUACUCAGGGACCUGCGGGAGUUUUGUCUCUUUUCCUUGCCCUUGCCGUGCUCUCUCUCUAGGCUUCUCUCUUUCCCUUUAACCACCUGAAAAGAGAGCUUCAGAACUCAGCUGAAGGACCUGUACAUCUGAGAGAUCAUCUUUGGCGUUUAGGUCACUGGUACAUCUGACAGGGCUUCCCUGGUGGUGCAGAUGGUAAAGAACCUGCCUGCAAUGCAGGAGACCCGGGAUCGAUUCCUGGUUGGGAAAGAUCCUCUGGAGAAGGAAAGGGCAACCCACUCCAGUAUUCUUGCCUGGAGAAUCCCAUGGACAGAGGCGCCUGGUGGGCUGCAUUUCACGGGGUCGCAAUAGUUGGACACGACUGAGUGACCAACACGCACACACAUAUCUGACACUAUUCUGAUAUAGCAUUUGUCACACUAUAUGGUAGUGCAGGGACUUCCCUGGUGGCUCACUUGGCAAAGAAUCCGUCUGCAAUGUGGGAGACCUGGGUUCGAUCCCUGGGUUGGGAACAUCCCCUGGAGGAGGGCAUGGCAACCCACUCCAGUAUUCUUGCCUGGAGAAUCCCCAUGGACAGAGGAGCCUGGCGGGCUACAGUCCAUGAGGUCCCAAAGUGUUGGACACAGCCAAGUGACUAAGCACACAGCACAUACAGCAGUGUA
This is a long non-coding RNA of Bos taurus (domestic cattle), 1386 nucleotides long. The record is from Ensembl. NCBI's taxonomy places the organism in Eukaryota, Metazoa, Chordata, Mammalia, Artiodactyla, Bovidae.